Molecule: transfer RNA, 74 nt
Filed under: Gemmatimonadota bacterium
Lineage: Bacteria; Pseudomonadati; Gemmatimonadota
Also listed under: 1 other name
Description: Gemmatimonadetes bacterium tRNA-Arg
Rfam family: tRNA
About the family: Transfer RNA (tRNA) molecules are approximately 80 nucleotides in length. Their secondary structure includes four short double-helical elements and three loops (D, anti-codon, and T loops). Further hydrogen bonds mediate the characteristic L-shaped molecular structure. tRNAs have two regions of fundamental functional importance: the anti-codon, which is responsible for specific mRNA codon recognition, and the 3' end, to which the tRNAs corresponding amino acid is attached (by aminoacyl-tRNA synthetases). tRNAs cope with the degeneracy of the genetic code in two manners: having more than one tRNA (with a specific anti-codon) for a particular amino acid; and 'wobble' base-pairing, i.e. permitting non-standard base-pairing at the 3rd anti-codon position.
Source: RNAcentral
GCGCCCGUAGCUCAAUUGGAUAGAGCGUCUGACUACGGAUCAGAAGGUUGGCGGUUCGAGUCCGUCCGGGCGCG